This is a long non-coding RNA of Oncorhynchus keta (chum salmon), 815 nucleotides long. RefSeq lists it as uncharacterized. Lineage: Eukaryota; Metazoa; Chordata; Actinopteri; Salmoniformes; Salmonidae. The transcript is spliced from 3 exons. The record is from RefSeq and is a predicted model, not a curated record.
CUAGUUUCCUGCUUGUAGCAGGCCGUGUUAACAGGAAUCCUCUUCUCUAACUAGAAGUCAUGUGAUUUCAUGAGGAUGUUGUUCUGCAGUGAGAGUGUAAUGCAAGUCAAGGUGUCCUGGGAUGAAUGUCAACUGCUGUAAUUAUCUUUUUGUUGGUUAGCUUUUAAAGUGUUUGAUUGUCACAGACAUCAGAUUGGUUCUGUGAAAUGUGUUGUUUUACAGGGUCAGUCAUAGUAGUAUGAUAGGUGUUGUUUUACAGGGUCAGUCAUAGUAGUAUGAUAGGUGUUGUUGUACAGGGUCAGUCAUAGUAGUAUGAUAGGUGUUGUUUUACAGGGUCAGUCAUAGUAGUAUGAUAGGUGUUGUUUUACAGGGUCAGUCAUAGUAGUAUGAUAGGUGUUGUUUUACAGGGUCAGUCAUAGUAGUAUGAUAGGUGUUGUUUUACAGGGUCAUAGUAGUAUGAUAGGUGUUGUUUUACAGGGUCAGUCAUAGUAGUAUGAUAGGUGUUGUUGUACAGGGUCAGUCAUAGUAGUAUGAUAGGUGUUGUUUUACAGGGUCAGUCAUAGUAGUAUGAUAGGUGUUGUUUUACAGGGUCAGUCAUAGUAGUAUGAUAGGUGUUGUUUUACAGGGUCAGUCAUAGUAGUAUGACAGGUGUUGUUUUACAGGGUCUUCCCAUAGUAGUAUGAUAGGUGUUGUUUUACAGGGUCAGACAUAGUAGUAUGAUAGGUGUUGUUUUACAGGGUCAGUCAUAGUAGUAUGAUAGGUGUUGUUUUACAGGGUCAGUCAUAGUAGUAUGAUAGGUGUUGUUUUACAGGGUC